UCCAGCAAGAAGUCAGGUUUGCUAUUUUUUCUCUUAUUUUAAGAGAUGCUUCCUGUCAUGGAAAUGUAUAUGAGACCCAAUACUAAAUGAUAAUGCCAGUUUCCAUGGGUAGGAAUGCAGUAUUCAAUGAGAGCUUCAUAUUCAUCAACACAUGGAUACAAUAUACCACAUCAGCCAUGUCUACAUUAGUUGUGAUGAAAUGGUCAAGUUGGCAAAGGAAGCUGAAAUUUUGGCUGCUCAAGAUUCUUAUGAGAGGCACAAGAAAGCUUCUGAGCUAGGCAAAUGAAUCCUGGGAGUUGUGUGCUGGGAGCAGAGGUUGUAGGAGUGAUAUGACCUCCCCUGGCAUCCUUGCGUCUUGCUCUGGUUGCCCUUUGCCCGCAGGGUGGUUGCUGCUAGAGUUGAAGACCACCCGUUGCUCGUAGUUGCAGGUGGUGCUGGAGUUGAAGACCACAAGAACGAGGGCAGCGUACCGGCAGACGGACAGAUGGCUCCCGCACUGAGACCAAAGUGGUGGAGAAGGGAGUCAAGAUAUGUGGUGUGCAUGUAGCUAGCUAGAAUAAACAUUGUUGUACAUGUUCCCUUUCUAUUGGUGUCAUUGUUGUACAUGUAGCUAGAUUGAAUAAACAUGAUCCGGAGAGGUAAGCAUGAUCUAGAAUAAACAUUUUUGUACAUUGGUGAUAGAUGGCAAUCUCAAGAUUUAUUUGACGAUGAGUUGGUUGAAAAA
Triticum dicoccoides is the source of this 724-nucleotide long non-coding RNA. RefSeq lists it as uncharacterized. The record is from RefSeq and is a predicted model, not a curated record. The transcript is spliced from 2 exons. Lineage: Eukaryota; Viridiplantae; Streptophyta; Magnoliopsida; Poales; Poaceae.